AGUGAACGCUGGCGGUAGGCCUAACACAUGCAAGUCGAACAGCAGCACAGUAAGAGCUUGCUCUUACGGGUGGCGAGUGGCGGACGGGUGAGGAAUACAUCGGAAUCUACUUUUUCGUGGGGGAUAACGUAGGGAAACUUACGCUAAUACCGCAUACGACCUACGGGUGAAAGCAGGGGAUCUUCGGACCUUGCGCGGUUGAAUGAGCCGAUGUCGGAUUAGCUAGUUGGCGGGGUAAAGGCCCACCAAGGCGACGAUCCGUAGCUGGUCUGAGAGGAUGAUCAGCCACACUGGAACUGAGACACGGUCCAGACUCCUACGGGAGGCAGCAGUGGGGAAUAUUGGACAAUGGGCGCAAGCCUGAUCCAGCCAUACCGCGUGGGUGAAGAAGGCCUUCGGGUUGUAAAGCCCUUUUGUUGGGAAAGAAAAGCAGCAGGUUAAUACCCCGCUGUUCUGACGGUACCCAAAGAAUAAGCACCGGCUAACUUCGUG
This 492-nucleotide ribosomal RNA is filed under the name uncultured bacterium. Its description in RNAcentral is "partial 16S ribosomal RNA". It matches the Rfam family "Bacterial small subunit ribosomal RNA", at positions 29 to 507 of the family's 1533-position model. The record is from RNAcentral.